Molecule: ribosomal RNA, 1497 nt
Filed under: uncultured Bordetella sp.
Lineage: Bacteria; Pseudomonadati; Pseudomonadota; Betaproteobacteria; Burkholderiales; Alcaligenaceae
Description: partial 16S-23S ribosomal RNA intergenic spacer
Rfam family: Bacterial small subunit ribosomal RNA
Source: RNAcentral
UUCGAUUCUGACUCAGAUUAGACGCUGGCGGGAUGCUUUACACAUGCCAAGUCGAACGGCAGCACGGACUUCGGUCUGGUGGCGAUGGCCGGUGGAGGUGGGUAAUGUAUGAACGUGCUGGUAGCGGGGGAUAACUACGCGAAAGCGUAGCUAAUACCGCAUACGCCCUUCGGGGAAAAGCAGGGGGACCUUCGGGCCUCGCACUAUUAGAAACGACUGCCGAUAUCGGAUUAGCUGGUUUGGUGGGGGUAACGACUCUUCCACAAAGGCGUUGAUCCGUAGCUGGUUUGAGGACGACCAGCCACACUGGGACAGAGACGGCCCAGACUCCUACAGGAGAGGCAGCAGUGGAAAUUUUGGACAAUGGAAACCCUGAUUGACCAUCCCGCGUGUGCGAUGAAGGCCUUGGGGUUAUGCAAGCACUUUUGGCAGGAAAGAAACGGCACGGGAUAAUACCCCGUACAACUGACAGUACCUGCAGAACAAAAAGCACCGGCUAACUACGUGCCAGCAGCCGCGCGGUAAUACGUAAGUGCAAGCGUUAACAAUCGAAUUACUGGGCGUAAAGCGUGCGCAGGCGGUUCGGAAGAAAGAUGUGAAAUCCCAGAGCUUAACUUUGGAGACUGCAUUUUUAGCUACCGAGCUAAAGUGUGUCAGAGGGAGGUGGGGCCACGCGUGUAGCAGUGAAAUGCGUAGAUAUGGAGGAACACCGAUGGCGACAGCCUCCUGGGAUAACACCGGCGUAUCUAUGCACGAAAGCGUGAGGCAAACAGGAUUAGAUACCCUGGUGAUCUACCGCCCUAACAUUAUCAACUAGCUGUUGGGGCCUUCGGGCCUUGGUAGCGCAGCUAACGCGUGAAGUUGACCGCCUGGGGAGUACAGGUCGCAGAUUAAAACUCAAAGGAAUUGACGGGGACCGCACAAGCGGUGGAUGAUGUGGAUUAAUUCGUGCAACGCGAAAAACCUUACCUACAUGACAUGUCUGGAAUCCCGAAGAGAUUUGGGAGUGCUCGCAAGAGAACCGGAACACAGGUGCUGCAUGGCUGUCGUCAGCUCGUGUCGUGAGAUGUUGGGUUAAGUCCACGCAACGAGCGCAACCCUUGUCAUUAGUUGCUACGAAAGGGCACUCUAAUGGAGUUGCCGGUGACAAGCCGGAGGAAGGUGGGGAUGACGUCAAGUCUCGGCCCUUAUAGGUGGGGCUUCACGUCAUACAAUGGUCGGGACAAGAGGGUCGCCAACCCGCGAGAGGCCAAUCCCAGAAACCCGAUCGUAGUCGGAUCGCAGUCUGCAACUCGACUGCGUGAAGUCGAAUGUGGUAAUCGCGGAUGUAUGUCGCGGUGAAUACGUUCGGGUCUUGUACACACCGCCCGUCGCACCAUGGGGUGGGUUUCACGAAGUAGUUAGCCUAACCGUAAGGAGGCGAUUACCACGGUAGGAUUCAUGACUGGGGUGAAGUCGUAACAAGGUAGCUCUCUUUCACCUGUGAUACUUUCCCAG